UCCAAUAGAUUGAAUUAUUUUUAUUUUAUUUUAUUAUAUGAUAAAAAAUACAAAAACCGAUUCACAAGCAACUCAAUACUAAUAAAAAAAAUCAAUAAAAACCUAACAUUAAAAGAUAAAAUUAAAUAAAAAAUAAAACAUUAAAAAACCCAAUAUUAAAGGAUGGAGUUGAAAAAAAUCAAAAUAAAAAAAAACCUAUAAAAAAUCAAA
RNAcentral lists this long non-coding RNA (210 nucleotides) under Populus trichocarpa (black cottonwood). Its description in RNAcentral is "long non-coding RNA (PTRI_LNC003961)". Lineage: Eukaryota; Viridiplantae; Streptophyta; Magnoliopsida; Malpighiales; Salicaceae. The record is from RNAcentral.